Molecule: ribosomal RNA, 1405 nt
Filed under: Limosilactobacillus fermentum
Lineage: Bacteria; Bacillati; Bacillota; Bacilli; Lactobacillales; Lactobacillaceae
Description: Lactobacillus fermentum 16S ribosomal RNA
Rfam family: Bacterial small subunit ribosomal RNA
Source: RNAcentral
ACGAGUGGCGGACGGGUGAGUAACACGUAGGUAACCUGCCCAGAAGCGGGGGACAACAUUUGGAAACAGAUGCUAAUACCGCAUAACAGCGUUGUUCGCAUGAACAACGCUUAAAAGAUGGCUUCUCGCUAUCACUUCUGGAUGGACCUGCGGUGCAUUAGCUUGUUGGUGGGGUAACGGCCUACCAAGGCGAUGAUGCAUAGCCGAGUUGAGAGACUGAUCGGCCACAAUGGGACUGAGACACGGCCCAUACUCCUACGGGAGGCAGCAGUAGGGAAUCUUCCACAAUGGGCGCAAGCCUGAUGGAGCAACACCGCGUGAGUGAAGAAGGGUUUCGGCUCGUAAAGCUCUGUUGUUAAAGAAGAACACGUAUGAGAGUAACUGUUCAUACGUUGACGGUAUUUAACCAGAAAGUCACGGCUAACUACGUGCCAGCAGCCGCGGUAAUACGUAGGUGGCAAGCGUUAUCCGGAUUUAUUGGGCGUAAAGAGAGUGCAGGCGGUUUUCUAAGUCUGAUGUGAAAGCCUUCGGCUUAACCGGAGAAGUGCAUCGGAAACUGGAUAACUUGAGUGCAGAAGAGGGUAGUGGAACUCCAUGUGUAGCGGUGGAAUGCGUAGAUAUAUGGAAGAACACCAGUGGCGAAGGCGGCUACCUGGUCUGCAACUGACGCUGAGACUCGAAAGCAUGGGUAGCGAACAGGAUUAGAUACCCUGGUAGUCCAUGCCGUAAACGAUGAGUGCUAGGUGUUGGAGGGUUUCCGCCCUUCAGUGCCGGAGCUAACGCAUUAAGCACUCCGCCUGGGGAGUACGACCGCAAGGUUGAAACUCAAAGGAAUUGACGGGGGCCCGCACAAGCGGUGGAGCAUGUGGUUUAAUUCGAAGCUACGCGAAGAACCUUACCAGGUCUUGACAUCUUGCGCCAACCCUAGAGAUAGGGCGUUUCCUUCGGGAACGCAAUGACAGGUGGUGCAUGGUCGUCGUCAGCUCGUGUCGUGAGAUGUUGGGUUAAGUCCCGCAACGAGCGCAACCCUUGUUACUAGUUGCCAGCAUUAAGUUGGGCACUCUAGUGAGACUGCCGGUGACAAACCGGAGGAAGGUGGGGACGACGUCAGAUCAUCAUGCCCCUUAUGACCUGGGCUACACACGUGCUACAAUGGACGGUACAACGAGUCGCGAACUCGCGAGGGCAAGCAAAUCUCUUAAAACCGUUCUCAGUUCGGACUGCAGGCUGCAACUCGCCUGCACGAAGUCGGAAUCGCUAGUAAUCGCGGAUCAGCAUGCCGCGGUGAAUACGUUCCCGGGCCUUGUACACACCGCCCGUCACACCAUGAGAGUUUGUAACACCCAAAGUCGGUGGGGUAACCUUUUAGGAGCCAGCCGCCUAAGGUGGGACAGAUGAUUAGGGU